GCGAGGUGCGCCAAGUGUUCCGUGCGCCUGACUGUUCCCUCCCGCCCUCCGCCCUUCUCCCGUCCUUAGCUGUGCGUGUUUAGGAGUGAUUAACUGAGUCGUCUGCGGGAGGCAACUCAAGCAAGGCUGGAGAACGUGGAAACUGGGGGCCCCGGCGGCAGGCUGUUCAUUAGUAGCGCUCCGACACCUGCAGACACGCUCCCCGUGGCUAAGGUGACGGGAAGCGAGGAUUUAGGGCAAUUAUAGUCAUCAGAACGGUCUUGAAGCUGAGGGGAUUGAAGGGGCGAGAUCCGAUAUGAAGGCUUAUCCGGUAUUGCCUCUGAUUCGCCGUCUCCGUGAUCCGAUUGUCUCGUAAGCAACUUCACUUCCCUCCCAUCAAUAAAACAAGAGAGGGAAGGAAGGGAAGGGAAGGGAACAGCAAGGACGCGUGGUGAACCCCAGCGUUGUGUGAAGACAUGUUUUAUUAGCUGUUCAGUGGAUCGUCGAUGUUAUGUGUUUUGUAUGUGUUUCAUUUGCAGGGAUAUGAGUGGGUAGUAUACAGACAGAUAAUGGAUGGAUAGAGAGAUAGACAGAUGAAUUGACUGAUUGAUUAAUUGAUAGCUAUGUUUGUUUAUAUUUUUCUUUUCUUGAUAUCUCCAUCGUAUCCUUUUUCUGCCGUUCGUAUAUCGGGGAGUUCCAUUUGUCCAUCGUGGGAGCCGUGGAGUAAUGUAAAAGCGGCUGGCUGUGUCCGUAGAGUUUUACCGCCGCCACCGAGAGAACGCACCGCCUGCAAUACAUAUAUACAUACACGCAUAGAUGGAUAGAUAGAUAAAUAAAUGGAUAGGUAGGUUUAUAUGGAAAUACAGUAAAUAAUUCGAUAGAUAGGUUGAUUAAGAACGAAAUUGAUGCAGGUGUCUUUGACUGGGAUAGGAGGAAUGUGUUUGUUGAGGGGACUGGAAGGGAGUGGAUGGUGCUGCUGCUGGGGCUGAGUGGAGGCACGAAGGGAAGAGUGAUGGAAGCAGUGAGAGAGUUCCUGGAAAAAAUUGCGCUUACAAGAUGCAGGUAAUAGGUAAGCUUGGAUAUUGUCCCAUGUACUAAGGAUACUGUCUGCUGAUACUGCCUGCUGCUGGGGCUGAGUGGAGGCACGAAGGGAAGAGUGAUGGAAGCAGUGAGAGAGUUCCUGGAAAAAGUUGCGUGUACAAGAUGCAGGUAAUAGAUAAGCUUGGAUAUUGUCCCGUGUACUAAGGAUACUGGCUGUUCUGUACAUUCACCUUUUACCUUCGCAUCGUAAGGUUUUUUUUUCCAAAUUCUGGACUUUUAUUCGUCCUAAGGUAUUCUCACCUGGUAGGGCCAUACCAACGCUGAGUGGUAGCGUGCUGG
Molecule: long non-coding RNA, 1359 nt
Organism: Eriocheir sinensis (Chinese mitten crab)
Lineage: Eukaryota; Metazoa; Arthropoda; Malacostraca; Decapoda; Varunidae
Exons: 3
Source: RefSeq, a predicted model, not a curated record